CGGAAGAGAUAGAAUUAAGGAAAAUUAACUAUGUAACAAAGAGUUAGGAAUCAAGUGAACGGUAACGAAACGGUGAAUGUCGAGUGAGUGGUGACGAGAUCUCGUGGACAAGGGGAGGGCCAGUGUGGUACACGAAAACCGGUUGCGUUGAGAAGGUCAGUUACUGAUCCGGUGUCAAGAAACGCGCGAAUUGAACGUUGCGUGGCGUCGAUUAUUUUGAUUAGUUUCAUUUACGAAAAGUUUCGCGUAAAGUGAAAUCUUCGAAUAUUGAUUGCACGCAUCCUCGUUCGACAACAUAUGAAUUUCGUUUGAGGCGCCAAAGGCCAAGGUUGUCGUUUCGCGUGAGCUCUCGCAGAGAGAUAGAGAAGGAGAAAGAGAAAGGAAAGAAGAGGAAAGUAUCUAGCACGUGGGCGAGCACGGAAGAGCAACCGGCCUCUGCGCGUCGUCGUUGACACAAAGAGUAGAGAGAAAGUGGGAAAGUUGCUGAAGGGAUAUUCGAUUGAUGAUAUCAUCCAGUAUUAAUUCAGAUAUCUAAGGUGUCGUUACGCUGAGAGCACCGCUGCCGGAGGGUAAUGCGCUUGGCGAGCGGAAGCGAGAAGCUCCGGGCGGCCUUUACUUUCUUCGGCCCUUGGUCCAGCCCCGCCGGCCGUUUCCACUCUUUCGCCGAAUCGUCCACUGAUCGGAACGAAAAAGAACGGAGGCAGCACGGUGCGUCCUUCUUGAUUCGAAAGGAGAAGUCGUGGAAGAACAGCGGAGCAACUGUUGCAACGAUAACAGCGGCCA
Molecule: long non-coding RNA, 783 nt
Organism: Apis dorsata (giant honeybee)
Lineage: Eukaryota; Metazoa; Arthropoda; Insecta; Hymenoptera; Apidae
Exons: 3
Source: RefSeq, a predicted model, not a curated record